UGACAGUUCGUGGUAAAAUAGCCAACCUGUUCGACAAAGAUUACGAGACAGUUUAUGGCUACCAAACUGCAGGACGAGAAUACACCUUGUCUGGCAGCUACACCUUCUGAACCACGUCCCACCGUGCUGGUAUUUGAUUCCGGCGUCGGUGGAUUGUCGGUCUAUGAUGAGAUUCGGCGGCUCCUGCCGGAUCUCCACUAUAUAUAUGCUUUCGAUAACGUGGCUUUCCCCUACGGGGAAAAGAGCGAAACGUUUAUCGUCGAGCGCGUUGUCGAGAUUGUGACUGCGGUACAGCAGCGCUAUCCCCUUUCACUGGCGGUGAUUGCUUGCAAUACCGCCAGUACGGUCUCACUUCCCGCAUUACGUGAAAAGUUUGCCUUCCCGGUAGUGGGCGUUGUGCCUGCGAUUAAACCAGCGGCGCGGCUGACCGCCAAUGGCGUCGUCGGGCUACUGGCGACGAGAGCGACGGUCAAACGUCCUUAUACUCACGAGCUGAUUGCGCGCUUCGCCAAUGAAUGUCAGAUAGCGAUGUUGGGGUCGGCAGAACUGGUGGAACUGGCGGAAGCUAAAUUACAUGGCGACUCGGUCUCGCUGGAAGAGCUGCGCCGCAUAUUACGCCCAUGGCUACGAAUGCCGGAGCCGCCUGAUACGGUCGUUCUGGGGUGUACGCAUUUCCCUCUAUUACGGGACGAGCUUUUGCAAGUCCUGCCCGAAGGGACGCGGUUAGUGGAUUCCGGCGCGGCGAUAGCGCGUCGUACAGCCUGGCUGUUGGAACAUGAAGUGCCGGAUGCAAAAUCAACCGAUGCCAAUAUUGCUUAUUGCAUGGCAAUGACGCCAGGAGCUGAACAAUUAUUACCCGUUUUACAGCGUUAUGGCUUUGAAACGCUCGAAAAACUGGCGGUUUAAUGGCGUUUUGGGUAAAUACCAGGCACUUGAGAAAUUAUUUUAAAUUUCCUCUUGUCAGGCAGAAAUAACUCCCUAUAAUGCGCCACCACUGACACGGAACAACGGCACACAGGCCGCCGGGUCAGCGGGGUUCAGACCAGAACCUCACGGAGAAAAGCGAAAAUAAACGCUUGACUCUGAAGCGGGAAAGCGUAAUAUGCACACCCCGCGCCGCUGAGAAAAAGCGAAGCGGCACUGCUCUUUAACAAUUUAUCAGACAAUCUGUGUGGGCACUCGAAGAUACGGAUUCUUGACGUCGCAAGACGAAAAUGAAUACCAAGUCUCAAGAGUGAACACGUAAUUCAUUACGAAGUUUAAUUCUUUGAGCAUCAAACUUUUAAAUUGAAGAGUUUGAUCAUGGCUCAGAUUGAACGCUGGCGGCAGGCCUAACACAUGCAAGUCGAACGGUAACAGGAAGCAGCUUGCUGCUUUGCUGACGAGUGGCGGACGGGUGAGUAAUGUCUGGGAAACUGCCUGAUGGAGGGGGAUAACUACUGGAAACGGUGGCUAAUACCGCAUAACGUCGCAAGACCAAAGAGGGGGACCUUCGGGCCUCUUGCCAUCAGAUGUGCCCAGAUGGGAUUAGCUUGUUGGUGAGGUAACGGCUCACCAAGGCGACGAUCCCUAGCUGGUCUGAGAGAUGACAGCCACACUGGACUGAGACACGUCCAGACUCUACGGGAGGCAGCAGUGGGGAAUAUUGCCCAAUGGGCCGCAAGCCUGAUGCAGCCAUG
RNAcentral lists this ribosomal RNA (1679 nucleotides) under Salmonella enterica subsp. enterica serovar Infantis str. SARB27. RNAcentral's name for it is "partial 16S ribosomal RNA". The stretch from base 1285 to 1679 matches the Rfam family "Bacterial small subunit ribosomal RNA", at positions 1 to 396 of the family's 1533-position model. Lineage: Bacteria; Pseudomonadati; Pseudomonadota; Gammaproteobacteria; Enterobacterales; Enterobacteriaceae. The record is from RNAcentral.